AGCAGCCGCGGUAAUUCCAGCUCCAAUAGCGUAUAUUAAAGUUGUUGCAGUUAAAAAGCUCGUAGUUGAAUUUCGGGAUCAAUAUAUUGGUCAUGCUUAGGUAUGUACUGGUAUUAUUGAUUUCUCCCUUCUGAAGAACCAUGAUGUCAUUAAUUUGAUGUCGUGGGGGAAUCAGGACUGUUACUUUGAAAAAAUUAGAGUGUUUAAAGCAGGCUUUCGCUUGAAUACAUUAGCAUGGAAUAAUGAAAUAGGACGUUUGAUUCUAUUUUGUUGGUUUCUAGGAUCGACGUAAUGAUUAAUAGGGAUAGUUGGGGGGCAUUAGUAUUCAAUUGUCAGAGGUGAAAUUCUUGGAUUUAUUGAAGACUAACUACUGCGAAAGCAUUUGCCAAGGAUGUUUUCAUUAAUCAAGAACGAAAGUUAGGGAAUCGAAGACGAUCAGAUACCGUCGUAGUCUUAACCAUAAACUAUGCCGACUAGGGAUGAUGUUAAUUUUUUUGAAUGACUCAUUCAGCGCCUUACG
Molecule: unclassified non-coding RNA, 520 nt
Filed under: uncultured Glomus
Lineage: Eukaryota; Fungi; Glomeromycota; Glomeromycetes; Glomerales; Glomeraceae
Description: SSU rRNA
Rfam family: Eukaryotic small subunit ribosomal RNA
Source: RNAcentral